Pantherophis guttatus is the source of this 761-nucleotide long non-coding RNA. RefSeq lists it as uncharacterized. The record is from RefSeq and is a predicted model, not a curated record. Lineage: Eukaryota; Metazoa; Chordata; Lepidosauria; Squamata; Colubridae.
UGAGAGGCCACAUAGGAGAAAUUCAAUCCAAGACCCCUAUAUCAUCUACCCAUUCCAAGAUAUCAAUUAAUUCCUUGACCAAACUGCCUACCAAAUUUUCAAGGAAAAUCCCAAGCCCUCUCUGAAGCCCCACGGAGUCCAUUAGUUGAUUGAAUAGACCAAUUCAGCAGAUCCUACCUUUCUGCAGUGCCUGGGGUAGCUGCACCAGCAAGUCAAAAAGCAAUCAGAAAGUGAUCUGACCUUGACAAGGACCAACAGUAAUGCUCUUUACUGCCAGAUCUGUUUCAACUGCCCGGAGACAAAUAGGUGUGACCACUGGUUAACAUGGUUCUCCUUCUACAAAGACUCAAGUAAAAUAUCUUUAAUAUUAAUUUUGGGAAAAAUACAGAGCCUUGGAAACUGCCAGAGGAAUUUCCCAUCUCAUUUUCAGUGAAUUCAUUCAACAGGGAAGAAGAGGUCUCAUCCUAGUGCAUAGAGCAACAGCAAGAAGCAAGAUUUCCUCUUUCCUUGAAAUGAAAACUGCAUCAGUUUUUCUUGCAUUCCAUCCCCUGCUCAUACCACAUACACAGAAGGUCUUCUUCAUGACUGCGUGAGCAUGAUUUCCUCUAGAAAACUACACCAGCAUAAAUUGACUGUGCUUCCAUAUCAAGAUCAAUGAAGUAGUGGUGGGUUCUAAUCAGUUUUACCACCGGUUCGCAUCGCGCACGAGCGCAAUCACCAAAUAAUGAUGAUAGUAAUUUAUUAAAUCAACAUGACACCUG